CUGGGUGUGUCUGUAAGGGUGUUACCAAAGGAGAUAAACAUUUGAGUCAGUGAACUGGGAGAGGCAGACCCACCCUCAGUGUGGGUGGUCACCAUCUAAUCAUCUGCCAUUGUGGCUAGAAUAAAGCAGGCAGAAAAAUGUGGAAGGAGCUGACUUGCUGAGUCUUCUGGUCUUCAUCUUUCACCUACACUGGAUGCUUCCUGCCCUCGAACAUCAGACUCCAAGUUCUUCAACUUUUGGACUCUUGGAGUUACACCAGUAGUUUGCCAGGGGCUCUCGGGCCUUUGGCCAUAGACUGAAGGCUGCACAGUUGGCUUCCCUGCUCUUGAGGUUUGGGACUCGGACUGGCUUCCUUGCUCCUCAGUUUGUAGAUGGCCUAUCGUGGGACUUCACUUUGUGAUUGUUUUUGAAACCAAUGGAGAGAUCAACACAAGCUUUGGAGAGGAGAUCAAAAUAUCUGCUUCACUGGAAGGAGUUUUGGAUUGCUCAACAAGGUUCAGAUCUGUGGCAUAAUCAGGCUUCCUAAUCCUGAACCAAAGUUGUUGUUGUAUCUCGUAGUUGUCACCUGAGAGCUGACUGACCUGUUUCAAGCAUAUGUGAGAUGCCUUCUGGAAAUGCCCGGAAGCAUAUAGCUAAUGGGAUGAGGCAUUUCAAGGUUGAACUUCAGCAAGAGCAAGUGGGAUAAAGGGCAAAAAGCAGCACAUUCCUUUCAAAAUGUCCCCAUUUUAAACUGCAGGCUAGAGUAGACAAUGGAAAUAUAUGACAUAUAAAGAAACUGGUGAGAUUAUUAAGCAGAGGGCCUUCUGGGGAGCAUUAAAGAGUGAGCAAGAAAAAUUUCUCAGACAUGGUGAUUCUAGAAUUGAAAAAUCAUAGACUCUUUCUCUUCUCUCUCCUUUGAGAGUUUCCAGAUGAAUUCUUGGAUCUGGCUACUGAGCAAAUAUAUGAAUAAUAACCUAGGAUCAGCUGGGUAUAAGAGGUUUCCACCAGAAGUCCAUGAAAACCAAUGUUUUUAAGCAUCUAUUGGGCAACUACCAUAAACAAUCAGCAAGAUGUUUAAACAGUUGAUUCUGCCGGCGGCCCAACCAGUUUUUAACUGUAUCACGAAAACUGGCCUGGGGGUACAGUCUGAGAUUAUUCCAGCCCUGCUUUUACACCGCCAGAAAUUCCCUUUCUGUUACAAAUUUCUACCCCAGAGAGGUUUGCAUAUUCUUGGCAUUUUCACUGUGCAUCAGUGAAUCAGCUAGCCUACGGGCCAAGGAGAGGGGAAAAAAAUCCCAAAUAAAACUCAACCCAGUUAGGAUGUCUUCAUCUAUUUUUCAGUGGGAAAAAAUACAGCUGGACUCAGUGACUUCAGUCAAAAGCAAACAUUACUAGUUGCUUCAUUUUUCUAAUUUUUAUUUUUGACUCUCAAGUUUUGGAGGGCAUAAUAAAGACAUAGCCUCAGCAAAGUCACUUAGAAGAUUGAGUUCGUUAUUUUGCAAAGCUUGGGUAGUGACACUUCUGCAAAAUGCACAAGCACAUGAGCAGAGAGAUGUGUGAAUUCAGGAAAGCAGCCAAAUGCACAUCAGAGCUGAGGAAUGUCACAGCGAAAUGAAGAAAACUUGUAAACACCUAUCUGUAUUUUUAGGUAGAGAAUGUUCUAACAUAUUGCCAAUGGGUGCUGCCUGUGUGUUCCUUCCCCUAAGCUUUAAACUCAACUGAUAUUAAAGGUGAUUUGAAAACAAUGAAAAUUGACAGCUUUAUUAAUCUAGAUGGUGUGUGUGAGAGAGAGACAGAGUGUGUGUGUGUGUGUGCG
This 1795-nucleotide long non-coding RNA is filed under the name Homo sapiens (human). RNAcentral describes it as "HSALNT0320540". The record is from RNAcentral. Lineage: Eukaryota; Metazoa; Chordata; Mammalia; Primates; Hominidae.